RNAcentral lists this ribosomal RNA (376 nucleotides) under uncultured Glomeromycotina. RNAcentral's name for it is "LSU rRNA". The record is from RNAcentral. Lineage: Eukaryota; Fungi; Glomeromycota.
UUGAAAGGGAAACGAUUGAAGUCAGUCAUACCAACGGGAAAUCAACCUUUUGAGCUUGGUCUCGUGGGUUUUGAAGAGUUUCAAAGCCUUCGGAUUCGCGGGAUUGGGAUCUCUCGGUGUACUUUUUCGUACGGUUAGUCAACAUCGGUUUUGAAUGUCAUAAAAUGACUGGAGGAAUGUAGCUUCGAUCUCGUAUUGAAGUGUUAUAGCCUUUGGUAGAUGUGAUGUUUGAGACCGAGGAUUGCAACGGAUACCCUUCAGGGCUAUUCGUCUGAUCUCUGAUACGUUGCCUUGAUGUUGAAAGCUUGCUUCUGUUUUAGGGUAUUACGGUCAAAAGGUUAGAAGCGAAUUAACAUUCGUUAAGGAUGUUGACGUA